GACGAACCGUGCGAACGUUGUUCGGAUUCACUGGGCUUAAAGGGCGCGUAGGCGGGUCCUCAAGUCCGGGGUGAAAUCCUCUCGCUCAACGAGAGAACUGCCCCGGAUACUGGAGACCUCGAGGGAGGUAGGGGCAUGUGGAACUUCCGGUGGAGCGGUGAAAUGCGUAGAUAUCGGAAGGAACGCCGGUGGCGAAAGCGACGUGCUGGACCUUUUCUGACGCUGAGGCGCGAAAGCCAGGGGAGCAAACGGG
Molecule: ribosomal RNA, 253 nt
Filed under: uncultured bacterium
Lineage: Bacteria
Description: partial 16S ribosomal RNA
Rfam family: Bacterial small subunit ribosomal RNA
Source: RNAcentral